UGUUUAAAUCUUAAAGUAGAUCUGCUCGUUUGCAUUAAGGCUUUGCUGUAAUGGAGGUCGAUUGCAGACUCCCUCACGGCGUUGCAUCUGGGAUAGGGAAUCAUACUGCUGAGUAUAGCUGUGGUGCGGAUUCGGGGAUAGUUUGCAAGAUUUUACAUCUGACGGAUUGCAAUUACAGCGACGGUGAGAGCGUUUUGAGUUUGAGGAUGCCCUGACGUUCGCAGUGGAACUGUGAAAGUUUCAGGAUGGAGAAACGGAUAACCCUUUCUUUGAUCUGCAUUUGUUGAUUGUGUUGUUACUGCAUGUGCGGAAAAAAGAAAGUACCCAGGUGCUCAGAGGAUUCAAAAUCAGGAUUACUUGAUGAUAAUGUUUAUACAUCACUCUCAUCACUGGGAGUAGUCCAGAAGUGAAGGGAGGCAGCGAGUUGGGCCCCAAACAGGACGUGCAUUUUUUUUUUCCAGUUUUGCAAAGCUCUUUUGGAGGUUUUCUUUAAACAAAAGCUACAAUCUCCUAUCGUUCACAGAACUAAAACGGAAGGGGUUCAGUCACAUUCUGGAAUCAUCUGCACAUGAGGUGAAGGAGUGCCAAUGCUUGCAAGCCGUUAUGCGAGGUGAGCUUUGGUUUUUAGCAUGGAUUGCUGGCCCUGUGUGGAUUUUAUGUACCUGGCACAGGUUGUGUUCGCCGUGGUUGGUCCGGAGUUAUCUUCAGCGCCAUGGUCAUUUGUUUUCCUCCAUCCUGUAUUGUCUUCAGAACCAUUGGUCCUUUGUUGUUCAAAAUUAAUGCGACAAGUUGUGCUCGGUGCCGAUCCUGGCUGAUAAGGUGUAUUUUUGGCUGCAGAGUCGAUUCUUACGUAUGCUGUGGUUUUAUGUAUCAAUUGUAUAUUGCGUUUUGAAUUUUUUUCUGAGUUACAUUUUCUUGCUCCAAGCUCCCUGGUGUGUCUGGGUCUAAUAAAAAUAUCUCUUCACUUUGAUGAUGCUCUGCAUUCUUCUCA
This is a non-coding RNA of Physcomitrium patens, 991 nucleotides long. Lineage: Eukaryota; Viridiplantae; Streptophyta; Bryopsida; Funariales; Funariaceae. The record is from RefSeq and is a predicted model, not a curated record.